CCUACGGGGGGCAGCAGUGGGGAAUAUUGGACAAUGGGGGCAACCCUGAUCCAGCCAUGCCGCGUGUGUGAAGAAGGCCCUCGGGUUGUAAAGCACUUUCAGUGAGGAAGAACGCCUGGUGGUUAAUACCCAUCAGGAAAGACAUCACUCACAGAAGAAGCACCGGCUAACUCCGUGCCAGCAGCCGCGGUAAUACGGAGGGUGCGAGCGUUAAUCGGAAUUACUGGGCGUAAAGCGCGCGUAGGUGGCUUGAUAAGCCGGUUGUGAAAGCCCCGGGCUCAACCUGGGAACGGCAUCCGGAACUGUCAAGCUAGAGUGCAGGAGAGGAAGGUAGAAUUCCCGGUGUAGCGGUGAAAUGCGUAGAGAUCGGGAGGAAUACCAGUGGCGAAGGCGGCCUUCUGGACUGACACUGACACUGGGGUGCGAAAGCGUGGGUAGCAAACAGGAUUAGAUACCCUAGUAGUC
RNAcentral lists this ribosomal RNA (465 nucleotides) under Vreelandella stevensii. Its description in RNAcentral is "partial 16S ribosomal RNA". It matches the Rfam family "Bacterial small subunit ribosomal RNA", at positions 338 to 795 of the family's 1533-position model. The record is from RNAcentral. Lineage: Bacteria; Pseudomonadati; Pseudomonadota; Gammaproteobacteria; Oceanospirillales; Halomonadaceae.